RNAcentral lists this ribosomal RNA (497 nucleotides) under uncultured bacterium. Its description in RNAcentral is "partial 16S ribosomal RNA". It matches the Rfam family "Bacterial small subunit ribosomal RNA", at positions 28 to 507 of the family's 1533-position model. The record is from RNAcentral.
GAUGAACGCUGGCGGCGUGCCUAAUACAUGCAAGUCGAGCGAACGGACGAGAAGCUUGCUUCUCUGAUGUUAGCGGCGGACGGGUGAGUAACACGUGGAUAACCUACCUAUAAGACUGGGAUAACUUCGGGAAACCGGAGCUAAUACCGGAUAAUAUUUUGAACCGCAUGGUUCAAAAGUAAAAGACGGUCUUGCUGUCACUUAUAGAUGGAUCCGCGCUGCAUUAGCUAGUUGGUAAGGUAACGGCUUACCAAGGCAACGAUGCAUAGCCGACCUGAGAGGGUGAUCGGCCACACUGGAACUGAGACACGGUCCAGACUCCUACGGGAGGCAGCAGUAGGGAAUCUUCCGCAAUGGGCGAAAGCCUGACGGAGCAACGCCGCGUGAGUGAUGAAGGUCUUCGGAUCGUAAAACUCUGUUAUUAGGGAAGAACAUAUGUGUAAGUAACUGUGCACAUCUUGACGGUACCUAAUCAGAAAGCCACGGCUAACUAUGUG